GCCAGUAUGGCGUAGUGGUUUUGAGUGUUGGACUGUAACUCUGGAGGUCAGGGUUCAAUUCCUGCUUGGCC
Non-coding RNA from Phrynosoma platyrhinos (Desert horned lizard), 71 nucleotides. The record is from the annotation of a GenBank genome assembly. Lineage: Eukaryota; Metazoa; Chordata; Lepidosauria; Squamata; Phrynosomatidae.